UAAAUUGAGAGUUUGAUCCUGGCUCAGGACGAACGCUGGCGGCGUGCCUAACACAUGCAAGUCGAGCGGGGGACUUCGGUCCCCAGCGGCGGACGGGUGAGUAACACGUGGGUAACCUGCCUCAUAGAGGGGGAUAGCCUCCCGAAAGGGAGAUUAAUACCGCAUAACACUGCGAUUUCACAUGAUAUUGCAGUUAAAGGAGUAAUCCGCUAUGAGAUGGGC
RNAcentral lists this ribosomal RNA (222 nucleotides) under Bacillota bacterium. Its description in RNAcentral is "partial 16S ribosomal RNA". It matches the Rfam family "Bacterial small subunit ribosomal RNA", at positions 1 to 230 of the family's 1533-position model. Lineage: Bacteria; Bacillati; Bacillota. The record is from RNAcentral.